AUUUUUUUUGCUAUGCAUAUCCAUUGACAAAUUUCUCAAAAAAUACUCUCUACUACUUAAUCCGUAGGUGAGGAAUGCGCGAUCCCAUCGCGCUCCUCCUCCGGAUCGCGACCCGCAGUUAGCGAGAAAAUAACGGCGCCCCCCAAUCCCCGGUUGUUGCGUCCCCUUCCUCCGCAUCCAACCUCGCGCCGCCCCCACAUCGCCGCGCCCCAUCCUCCUCGCCGCACCAUGCCUCCACUGCCGGCGCCCCCUUCCUCCGCAUUCAACCUCGCGCGCUCCCCAUCUCGUGCGCACUCCCAGAGAUUAAAGGAGUGUAGGAGGAUCUGAUAAAAAGUGGAGCUAUUUUCAUUGCGACGAAGUUGGUAAAAGGAAGCCUGGCAAGAUCAAAUCAAAUGGGAAAGGACGAAGGGCGAAGGCUGUCGCAAUUUCCCCCAAGCUCGCAAACUUGAGCUGGUCAGAAACCAGUACUGAGAAUUCAGCUUUUCAUUUAUCACUAUUUACAUAUGCUAGUAAGGUGCCCAUGCGUUGAAAUGGGAAAUGCUAUAUAUCAAUUUCAAAUUAUGUUAAGUGAAUAGAUAUCAAAUAUUCAUUGAGUGAAAAUUUGUUGAACACAUAUGCAGAUUAAUUUCAAAACAGAAAUAUGUUUUCAUUACAUAAGCAUAAUGAAAGCUUUCUGCGGCAUGAAACAAUCUCAUGGUGUUUAUUAAAUUAUAAAAAGACAACAUAGAUAGAAGACUGCUAUGAAAAUUUAAGAGAGAAUCCCUUAUAUGCCACUGAAAAUUUGUCUGAUCCCUUGGAUGCCACUGAAAAUAAGCUCUUCACUUAUAUGCCAUUGGUUCAAAUUUUCGCUCCCUCUCAUGCCACUGCCAUCCGUUGACUGGUAGUUGACUGUUAACUGUAGAGUGAAAUGACGUAUUUGCCCUUCUUGAGUUGAUAGGCAUGCAGUAGGUGUUAGUAUGUCAGUUAUAUACUACAUUUUAGCUAGGCAUCACAUAUAUUUGGAAUAAAUGAAUAUAUGAAUGUAUAGCAUUAAUCUAUAUAUUGAAUAUAUGAAUAUUUUUCAGUCACAUAAUUUUGAGGCACAUAUUUCUCUGUUUUUCAUAGUAGAACAAAGCAAUCUGUUAUGGCAUUAAUGUAUUUUUCACAUACAUUAACCAUGUACUUCUCGAACAAAAGCUUCAACAAUAUUUACUAGGGAGCACAACAUUUCUCUGUUUUUCACAGUAUCGACAAAACAUUCAAGUAAUAUAAUAGAUUGCUUCUGACAGACAUUUAAGAUAAUGUGUAAUUGCACAUUGUUUGUAAUGCACGGCUAAACAGCUAAAAUAACAAACAGAUUGUUUGCUAGAGGAAGGAGAUAUACACAGUAGCACAGAAUAUGCAACAAAUAUUAUAGGGAGCUGUUUAAAUGACCAGAGAGUACCAAAAUGCAUACUGACACAGUACCAAAAUACAUGUUCAGGCUUACUGACAUGGUGCAUCAGAGGGAUGUUGGGCUUGGCCCACUUGGACAAUUGGGCCAUAUUCUCAUGUUUGGGCCAAAGGGUAUUUUUGUCAUUUCAGUAAAAAAACUGACAAGUGAUUACAUCCUAUCAACAGUCAACUACCAGUCAACGGACGGCAAUGGCAUGAGAGGGAGCGAAAAUUUGAACCAAUGGCAUAUAAGGGAAGAGCCAAUUUUCAGUGGCAUUCAAGGGAUCAGACAAAUUUUCAGUGGCAUAUAAGGGAUUUUCCCAAAAUUUAAUGAUGUCAUACAAAUUAAAGCACAAACAAAAAAUCUAGAACAACAAGUAUUUCCAGAUAUUGUAUUUUUCAUUGAUAACAAUUAUGAUUUGUAGUUUCUUUGGAUUGCCA
Long non-coding RNA from Oryza sativa Japonica Group (Japanese rice), 1854 nucleotides. RefSeq lists it as uncharacterized. NCBI's taxonomy places the organism in Eukaryota, Viridiplantae, Streptophyta, Magnoliopsida, Poales, Poaceae. The record is from RefSeq and is a predicted model, not a curated record.